GCCCGAGUAACUCAGUCUGGAUUAGAGUGCCACCCUCCUAAAGGAUUAGGAGCAAGGUGGAAGUCAAAGGUUCAAAUCCUUUCUCGGGCG
RNAcentral lists this transfer RNA (90 nucleotides) under Spirochaetota bacterium. Its description in RNAcentral is "Spirochaetes bacterium tRNA-Arg". It matches the Rfam family "tRNA". Rfam says of the family: Transfer RNA (tRNA) molecules are approximately 80 nucleotides in length. The record is from RNAcentral. Lineage: Bacteria; Pseudomonadati; Spirochaetota.